CCUACGGGAGGCAGCAGUAGGGAAUCUUUCACAAUGGGGGAAACCCUGAUGCAGCAACGCCGCGUGCAGGAUGAAGGCUUUCGGAUUGUAAACUGCUUUUGUAAGCGAAGAAUAUGAUGGUAACUUAUGAAUAAGGAUCGGCUAACUACGUGCCAGCAGCCGCGGUCAUACGUAGGGUGCGAGCGUUAUCCGGAGUGACUGGGGGUAAAGAGUGCGGUGGGGGGAAGAAAAAUGAGAUAUGAAAAUCUGGUGGGUCAAACCAUCAGACUAUUAGUGAAAGUGUUAAUCUCGAGAGGGUGAGGGGUAACUGGAAGUCUUAGUGUAGGAGUGAAAUCCGUAGAGAUCAGAAGGAAUACUAAUAGCGUAGGCAGGCUACUGGGACGGUACUGACACUAAGGCACGAAAGCGUAGGGAGCAAACGGGAUUAGAUACCCUAGUAGUC
This 442-nucleotide ribosomal RNA is filed under the name uncultured bacterium. RNAcentral's name for it is "partial 16S ribosomal RNA". It matches the Rfam family "Bacterial small subunit ribosomal RNA", at positions 338 to 795 of the family's 1533-position model. The record is from RNAcentral.